AAAACUUUCAACAACGGAUCUCUUGGUUCUGGCAUCGAUGAAGAACGCAGCGAAAUGCGAUAAGUAAUGUGAAUUGCAGAAUUCAGUGAAUCAUCGAAUCUUUGAACGCACAUUGCGCCCGCCAGAAUUCUGGCGGGCAUGCCUGUUCGAGCGUCAUUU
This 159-nucleotide ribosomal RNA is filed under the name ascomycete sp. 5/97-57. Its description in RNAcentral is "5.8S ribosomal RNA". It matches the Rfam family "5.8S ribosomal RNA". From Rfam's summary of the family: 5.8S ribosomal RNA (5.8S rRNA) is a component of the large subunit of the eukaryotic ribosome. Lineage: Eukaryota; Fungi; Ascomycota. The record is from RNAcentral.